UGUCAUUACAGUUCGAGCUCUCUUACAGUCAGGAGCUCCAACUUAUUGAAAUUAUUUGUAAUAAAAAAAAUAAAAAUUAAGAAAAAAUGUGAGAACAAUAAGUUUCGUGGCUAAAUUAACGUUGUGACUUUUCUGCGGCUGAGAAUUGUUUUAAAAGCAAAUUGAAAAUUGUGAUGCUAAAAAAUAGAUGUAAAUUUUUUGUUUAGUUCGUACCAAAUUUCGUUUCAAUGUCAAUGUCAGGAAGUGUGCUACUUAGAAAUGUUAGAUGAAAAUCCACUCGAAGAAAAAACGUUUUAACCUACAACAUGUUACACACAAGAGCACACAAUAAACUAACCCUGAUAAAUGGCGAUCUGCUUGGUGUAUUUGCGUUUUUGCUGACUUUAUAUCGUUGAUGCGAUGGUACCACAGACCCGUGUUUCCAUAGGGUUUGCUGGAUUAGUCGAUCAAAGGCAAUAUAUGAAUAAACUGUUUGUGGCACAAAUUCACCCUCCCAUCUGUAGUAGACAAUAAAAAGUUAAAAAAAAAACAAAAUUAGAACAUACAACACUUAACCAACACUACAAACUCCAGUGUCUACACACACAGCAGACACAGCACACACAGCACACUAAUACUCAAUUCUCAGACGUUUCGAUUUCUUCGUCGAUGCUUAUUUAUGCAUCUUUUAUGCUCGCUCUGUACAUAGACAUAUAUGUAUUAGGAAAAAGAAACCAAGUAACCAAAACCAUACGAAAAAAAAAAUCGUGUUUUUUUUUUGGCCACACUUAAACUUACUUUUUUUUUUGUGUUCGCCCAUAUCGUCGUUGUCGCACAUCAGGAAGUAAGCUUCAUACAAUUAACAUUGUCGCGGUUGGUUACCAAAAAACUGUCAGCCCGCUUAACAAAUCAAUAAUAACAAUAAUAAUAUUUUGGACGCAAUCACCUCGUGCAUCGCCAUAGAAGGGGUUAAAAAAAACAGUUUUUGCACGGAAUCCAGUUGAACAGAAUCAUGAGGGUUGCGCGUCACUGUAUUAUCAGAAGCUCAUAUUUGUUUUGUUCUAUUAAUCGUCUAUCGAAAUAAAAUCACAGAUGCAACAAA
This is a long non-coding RNA of Drosophila montana, 1081 nucleotides long. RefSeq lists it as uncharacterized. Lineage: Eukaryota; Metazoa; Arthropoda; Insecta; Diptera; Drosophilidae. The record is from RefSeq and is a predicted model, not a curated record. The transcript is spliced from 6 exons.